This is a microRNA precursor of Seriola lalandi dorsalis, 63 nucleotides long. The record is from Ensembl. Lineage: Eukaryota; Metazoa; Chordata; Actinopteri; Carangiformes; Carangidae.
UAAAGUGCUUACAGUGCAGGUAGUGAUGAUAACCUGGCCUACUGCAGUGUGAGCACUUCUUUC